RNAcentral lists this ribosomal RNA (440 nucleotides) under uncultured bacterium. Its description in RNAcentral is "partial 16S ribosomal RNA". It matches the Rfam family "Bacterial small subunit ribosomal RNA", at positions 338 to 795 of the family's 1533-position model. The record is from RNAcentral.
CCUACGGGAGGCAGCAGUGGGGAAUAUUGCACAAUGGGGGAAACCCUGAUGCAGCGACGCCGCGUGAGUGAAGAAGUAAUUCGUUAUGUAAAGCUCUAUCAUCAGGGAAGAAAAUGACUGUACCUUAGUAAGAAGCCCCGGCUAACUACGUGCCAGCAGCCGCGGUAAUACGUAGGGGGCGAGCGUUAACCGGAUUUACGGGGUGUAACGGGAGCGUAGACGGUAGGGCAAGUCUGGAGUGAAAGGCGAGGGCUGAAGCCCCGGAGUGCUCUGGAAACUGUACGGCUGGAGUGCAGGAGAGGUAAGUGGAAUGCGUGGUGUAGCGGUGAAAUGCGUAGAUAUUAGGAAGAACACCAGUGGCGAAGGCGGCUUACUGGACUGUAACUGACGUUGAGGCUCGAAAGCGUGGGGAGCAAACAGGAUUAGAUACCCGAGUAGUC